GAAGCCAGUUAGACAGAAUUCUUCAUUGUUCGGGCCGAGAGCUCGCCGUUCUGUUGAUCCCGACUGAUCCAAAGAAACAAAACUGCAUUGUUCCUCGCAGAUGGAAGCGAGUGUCGCCAAGAUCUGAGACAAUGAUGAAACAGCUGUAGGUAUCAGUGUGUGUGUGUGAGAGAGUGUAUGAGUGGCUCUUUGCUCACACUCUCACCAGAAUUUAAAGGCACAAACACACCUGCCUCCAGUCCCUGCACCAAUGCUUGGUGGAUUCAGAGCACGAGCACCGGCAGAGGAGACUGACAGGAAAGUCAAGGGUCCUCACAAGGAGGACCGUCUUCUCACAUCACCUUGGCUCUGGCUGCCGCUGGGGACGAGGACGAGGAGGACGAGCCGGUGGGGGUUGGAAGAGUUUCAGGAAGUGUUUCAGAUGUCAGAUUAAUUCCUGAAAUAUCUUAGAUUGCUUCGAGAAAUAACACGGCAGGUUGUAAUAAACAAAAAGCCUUUCAAUCGGGACAGCAGACUAUGUCGAGAACUGGGAUCUCGUAACGUUGAUGUACAAUCUCAAAACCUCGACUCGUUUUAUCUGAAUUUAGACCGGGUUUGAAAACCGAGAAGCGAACACCGAAUUCGAAUAAAUCUCUCGAAAGUUAAAAGAUCUUUCAAAAUUGCAUUUGUACACACGCUUUUCCUACACAGGGCCGCAGGGAGCCUGGAGCCAGUCCCAGGGAACUCGGGGCACGAGGCGGGGGACACCCUGGACAGGGUGUAAAACUAUCGCAGGGCAAAAUCACACACAUUCACACACUACGGACAAUUUAGAGACACCGGUCAGACCAGCAUGCAUGUCUUCGGACUGGAGGAAGAAACGGGCGUACCCGGAGGAAACCCCCGAGACACGGGGAGGACAUGCAAGCUGAUUAGCAAUACAGGAACAUUUCAAAGGAGAAAAUGGCUUUGAUUUAAGAAACAAAUUCUGCAAUAACCUUUCAGUAUCAAGUUCUAGAUUUGGACUUUUGUCUGGGAUCUUGAGUUUUUAUACACCCAAAUUGAACUGAUACCGAUUGAUCGAAUAAAUGAUCCAUUCAGGAUAAACCGUGAUUAGCUGAUUGACUGAUUGAUUGAUUUACCAACCGAUUUACUGAUCAAAUUAUUUACUGGCCUCGGUUCAUUGAUUGAUUGUUUUACUAUGGUUGAUUGAUAUUGAUUGAUUGAUUGAUAUUGAGUGAUUGAUUGAUUGAUAUCGAUUGGUUGAUUAAUUGAUUGAUGUUGAUUGAUUGAUAUUGAUUGAUUG
Ictalurus punctatus (channel catfish) is the source of this 1285-nucleotide long non-coding RNA. RefSeq lists it as uncharacterized. The transcript has 3 exons. NCBI's taxonomy places the organism in Eukaryota, Metazoa, Chordata, Actinopteri, Siluriformes, Ictaluridae. The record is from RefSeq and is a predicted model, not a curated record.